UGCAGUCGAGCGAACGGAUUAGAAGCUUGCUUCUAUGACGUUAGCGGCGGACGGGUGAGUAACACGUGGGCAACCUGCCUGUAAGACUGGGAUAACUUCGGGAAACCGAAGCUAAUACCGGAUAGGAUCUUCUCCUUCAUGGGAGAUGAUUGAAAGAUGGUUUCGGCUAUCACUUACAGAUGGGCCCGCGGUGCAUUAGCUAGUUGGUGAGGUAACGGCUCACCAAGGCAACGAUGCAUAGCCGACCUGAGAGGGUGAUCGGCCACACUGGGACUGAGACACGGCCCAGACUCCUACGGGAGGCAGCAGUAGGGAAUCUUCCGCAAUGGACGAAAGUCUGACGGAGCAACGCCGCGUGAGUGAUGAAGGCUUUCGGGUCGUAAAACUCUGUUGUUAGGGAAGAACAAGUGCGAGAGUAACUGCUCGUACCUUGACGGUACCUAACCAGAAAGCCACGGCUAACUACGUGCCAGCAGCCGCGGUAAUACGUAGGUGGCAAGCGUUAUCCGGAAUUAUUGGGCGUAAAGCGCGCGCAGGCGGUUUCUUAAGUCUGAUGUGAAAGCCCACGGCUCAACCGUGGAGGGUCAUUGGAAACUGGGGAACUUGAGUGCAGAAGAGAAAAGCGGAAUUCCACGUGUAGCGGUGAAAUGCGUAGAGAUGUGGAGGAACACCAGUGGCGAAGGCGGCUUUUUGGUCUGUAACUGACGCUGAGGCGCGAAAGCGUGGGGAGCAAACAGGAUUAGAUACCCUGGUAGUCCAACGCCGUAAACGAUGAGUGCUAAGUGUUAGAGGGUUUCCGCCCUUUAGUGCUGCAGCUAACGCAUUAAGCACUCCGCCUGGGGAGUACGGUCGGCAAGACUGAAACUCAAAGGAAUUGACGGGGUCCGCACCAAGCGGUGGGAGCAUGUGGUUUAAUCGAAGCAACGC
RNAcentral lists this ribosomal RNA (927 nucleotides) under Priestia megaterium. RNAcentral describes it as "bacterial SSU rRNA". It matches the Rfam family "Bacterial small subunit ribosomal RNA", at positions 56 to 962 of the family's 1533-position model. Lineage: Bacteria; Bacillati; Bacillota; Bacilli; Caryophanales; Bacillaceae. The record is from RNAcentral.